AUACAGGGUGACAGCCCCGUACACAAAAAUGCACAUGCUGUGAGCUCGAUGAGUAGGGCGGGACACGUGGUAUCCUGUCUGAAUAUGGGGGGACCAUCCUCCAAGGCUAAAUACUCCUGACUGACCGAUAGUGAACCAGUACCGUGAGGGAAAGGCGAAAAGAACCCCGGCGAGGGGAGUGAAAAAGAACCUGAAACCGUGUACGUACAAGCAGUGGGAGCACGCUUAGGCGUGUGACUGCGUACCUUUUGUAUAAUGGGUCAGCGACUUAUAUUCUGUAGCAAGGUUAACCGAAUAGGGGAGCCGAAGGGAAACCGAGUCUUAACUGGGCGUUAAGUUGCAGGGUAUAGACCCGAAACCCGGUGAUCUAGCCAUGGGCAGGUUGAAGGUUGGGUAACACUAACUGGAGGACCGAACCGACUAAUGUUGAAAAAUUAGCGGAUGACUUGUGGCUGGGGGUGAAAGGCCAAUCAAACCGGGAGAUAGCUGGUUCUCCCCGAAAGCUAUUUAGGUAGCGCCUCGUGAAUUCAUCUCCGGGGGUAGAGCACUGUUUCGGCAAGGGGGUCAUCCCGACUUACCAACCCGAUGCAAACUGCGAAUACCGGAGAAUGUUAUCACGGGAGACACACGGCGGGUGCUAACGUCCGUCGUGAAGAGGGAAACAACCCAGACCGCCAGCUAAGGUCCCAAAGUCAUGGUUAAGUGGGAAACGAUGUGGGAAGGCCCAGACAGCCAGGAUGUUGGCUUAGAAGCAGCCAUCAUUUAAAGAAAGCGUAAUAGCUCACUGGUCGAGUCGGCCUGCGCGGAAGAUGUAACGGGGCUAAACCAUGCACCGAAGCUGCGGCAGCGACGCUUAUGCGUUGUUGGGUAGGGGAGCGUUCUGUAAGCCUGUGAAGGUGUGCUGUGAGGCAUGCUGGAGGUAUCAGAAGUGCGAAUGCUGACAUAAGUAACGAUAAAGCGGGUGAAAAGCCCGCUCGCCGGAAGACCAAGGGUUCCUGUCCAACGUUAAUCGGGGCAGGGUGAGUCGACCCCUAAGGCGAGGCCGAAAGGCGUAGUCGAUGGGAAACAGGUUAAUAUUCCUGUACUUGGUGUUACUGCGAAGGGGGGACGGAGAAGGCUAUGUUGGCCGGGCGACGGUUGUCCCGGUUUAAGCGUGUAGGCUGGUUUUCCAGGCAAAUCCGGAAAAUCAAGGCUGAGGCGUGAUGACGAGGCACUACGGUGCUGAAGCAACAAAUGCCCUGCUUCCAGGAAAAGCCUCUAAGCAUCAGGUAACAUCAAAUCGUACCCCAAACCGACACAGGUGGUCAGGUAGAGAAUACCAAGGCGCUUGAGAGAACUCGGGUGAAGGAACUAGGCAAAAUGGUGCCGUAACUUCGGGAGAAGGCACGCUGAUAUGUAGGUGAAGUCCCUCGCGGAUGGAGCUGAAAUCAGUCGAAGAUACCAGCUGGCUGCAACUGUUUAUUAAAAACACAGCACUGUGCAAACACGAAAGUGGACGUAUACGGUGUGACGCCUGCCCGGUGCCGGAAGGUUAAUUGAUGGGGUUAGCGCAAGCGAAGCUCUUGAUCGAAGCCCCGGUAAACGGCGGCCGUAACUAUAACGGUCCUAAGGUAGCGAAAUUCCUUGUCGGGUAAGUUCCGACCUGCACGAAUGGCGUAAUGAUGGCCAGGCUGUCUCCACCCGAGACUCAGUGAAAUUGAACUCGCUGUGAAGAUGCAGUGUACCCGCGGCAAGACGGAAAGACCCCGUGAACCUUUACUAUAGCUUGACACUGAACAUUGAGCCUUGAUGUGUAGGAUAGGUGGGAGGCUUUGAAGUGUGGACGCCAGUCUGCAUGGAGCCGACCUUGAAAUACCACCCUUUAAUGUUUGAUGUUCUAACGUUGACCCGUAAUCCGGGUUGCGGACAGUGUCUGGUGGGUAGUUUGACUGGGGCGGUCUCCUCCUAAAGAGUAACGGAGGAGCACGAAGGUUGGCUAAUCCUGGUCGGACAUCAGGAGGUUAGUGCAAUGGCAUAAGCCAGCUUGACUGCGAGCGUGACGGCGCGAGCAGGUGCGAAAGCAGGUCAUAGUGAUCCGGUGGUUCUGAAUGGAAGGGCCAUCGCUCAACGGAUAAAAGGUACUCCGGGGAUAACAGGCUGAUACCGCCCAAGAGUUCAUAUCGACGGCGGUGUUUGGCACCUCGAUGUCGGCUCAUCACAUCCUGGGGCUGAAGUAGGUCCCAAGGGUAUGGCUGUUCGCCAUUUAAAGUGGUACGCGAGCUGGGUUUAGAACGUCGUGAGACAGUUCGGUCCCUAUCUGCCGUGGGCGCUGGAGAACUGAGGGGGGCUGCUCCUAGUACGAGAGGACCGGAGUGGACGCAUCACUGGUGUUCGGGUUGUCAUGCCAAUGGCACUGCCCGGUAGCUAAAUGCGGAAGAGAUAAGUGCUGAAAGCAUCUAAGCACGAAACUUGCCCCGAGAUGAGUUCUCCCUGACUCCUUGAGAGUCCUGAAGGAACGUUGAAGACGACGACGUUGAUAGGCCGGGUGUGUAAGCGCAGCGAUGCGUUGAGCUAACCGGUACUAAUGAACCGUGAGG
Molecule: ribosomal RNA, 2576 nt
Filed under: Escherichia coli
Lineage: Bacteria; Pseudomonadati; Pseudomonadota; Gammaproteobacteria; Enterobacterales; Enterobacteriaceae
Description: partial 23S ribosomal RNA
Rfam family: Bacterial large subunit ribosomal RNA
Source: RNAcentral